Acanthosepion pharaonis is the source of this 96-nucleotide non-coding RNA. Lineage: Eukaryota; Metazoa; Mollusca; Cephalopoda; Sepiida; Sepiidae. The record is from the annotation of a GenBank genome assembly.
GCCACAUCACGUUAAAACACCGGUUCCCGUACGAUCACCGAAGUUAAGCAAUCUCGACACUGUUCAGUACCAAGAUGGGUGACCGCUUAGAAAUAC